GAUGAACGCUGGCGGCGUGCCUAAUACAUGCAAGUCGAGCGGCAGCAGGUUAAGCUGACGAGUGGCGAACGGGUGAGUAAUGCAUCGGAACGUGCCCGAUCGUGGGGGAUAACGCAGCGAAAGCUGCGCUAAUACCGCAUACGAUCUGAGGAUGAAAGCGGGGGACCGUAAGGCCUUGCGCGAUCGGAGCGGCCGAUGUCAGAUUAGGUAGUUGGUGGGGUAAAGGCCCACCAAGCCGACGAUCCGUAGCUGGUCUGAGAGGACGACCAGCCACACUGGGACUGAGACACGGCCCAGACUCCUACGGGAGGCAGCAGUGGGGAAUUUUGGACAAUGGGCGAAAGCCUGAUCCAGCAAUGCCGCGUGCAGGAAGAAGGCCUUCGGGUUGUAAACUGCUUUUGUACGGAGCGAAAAGGUCCUUUCUAAUACAAGGGGCUCAUGACGGUACCGUAAGAAUAAGCACCGGCUAACUACGUGCCAGCCGCCGCAGUAA
This 493-nucleotide ribosomal RNA is filed under the name uncultured bacterium. Its description in RNAcentral is "partial 16S ribosomal RNA". It matches the Rfam family "Bacterial small subunit ribosomal RNA", at positions 28 to 523 of the family's 1533-position model. The record is from RNAcentral.